This 587-nucleotide ribosomal RNA is filed under the name uncultured bacterium. Its description in RNAcentral is "bacterial SSU rRNA". It matches the Rfam family "Bacterial small subunit ribosomal RNA", at positions 338 to 916 of the family's 1533-position model. The record is from RNAcentral.
CCUACGGGAGGCAGCAGUAGGGAAUCUUCCACAAUGGGCGAAAGCCUGAUGGAGCAACGCCGCGUGAGUGAUGAAGGCCUUCGGGUUGUAAAACUCUGUCAUUCGGGACGAACCGGAGUCUGAGGAAAUGCAGACUCUCUGACGGUACCGGAGGAGGAAGCCCCGGCUAACUACGUGCCAGCAGCCGCGGUAAUACGUAGGGGGCAAGCGUUGUCCGGAUUCACUGGGCGUAAAGCGCGCGCAGGCGGUGAUGUAAGUCUGAGGUGAAAACCCGAAGCUCAACUUCGGGACUGCCUUGGAUACUGCGUCACUUGAGGAUAGGAGAGGCAAGGGGAAUUCCACGUGUAGCGGUGAAAUGCGUAGAGAUGUGGAGGAACACCUGUGGCGAAGGCGCCUUGCUGGCCUAUUUCUGACGCUGAGGCGCGAAAGCGUGGGGAGCAAACAGGAUUAGAUACCCUGGUAGUCCACGCUGUAAACGAUGGGUGCUAGGUGUAGGUGGGCUCAUACCCAUCUGUGCCGAAGCUAACGCAUUAAGCACUCCGCCUGGGGAGUACGGUCGCAAGACUGAAACUCAAAGGAAUUGACGG